ACGGAAGGCAGCAGUGGGGAAUAUUGCACAAUGGGCGAAAGCCUGAUGCAGCGACGCCGCGUGAGUGAAGAAGUAUCUCGGUAUGUAAAGCUCUAUCAGCAGGGAAGAAAAUGACGGUACCUGACUAAGAAGCCCCGGCUAACUACGUGCCAGCAGCCGCGGUAAUACGUAGGGGGCAAGCGUUAUCCGGAUUUACUGGGUGUAAAGGGAGCGUAGACGGUUUGGCAAGUCUGAAGUGAAAUACGGGGGCUCAACUCCUGAACUGCUUUGGAAACUGUCGAACUAGAGUGCAGGAGAGGUAAGUGGAAUUCCUAGUGUAGCGGUGAAAUGCGUAGAUAUUAGGAGGAACACCAGUGGCGAAGGCGGCUUACUGGACUGUAACUGACGUUGAGGCUCGAAAGCGUGGGGAGCAAACAGGAUUAGAUACCCUGGUA
RNAcentral lists this ribosomal RNA (434 nucleotides) under uncultured Lachnospiraceae bacterium. RNAcentral's name for it is "partial 16S ribosomal RNA". It matches the Rfam family "Bacterial small subunit ribosomal RNA", at positions 341 to 792 of the family's 1533-position model. The record is from RNAcentral. Lineage: Bacteria; Bacillati; Bacillota; Clostridia; Lachnospirales; Lachnospiraceae.